This 503-nucleotide ribosomal RNA is filed under the name uncultured bacterium. Its description in RNAcentral is "partial 16S ribosomal RNA". It matches the Rfam family "Bacterial small subunit ribosomal RNA", at positions 30 to 523 of the family's 1533-position model. The record is from RNAcentral.
AUUGAACGCUGGCGGCAGGCUUAACGCAUGCAAGUCGAGCGGGGUGAUGGUGCUUGCACUAUCACUUAGCGGCGGACGGGUGAGUAAUGCUUAGGAAUCUGCCUAUUAGUGGGGGACAACAUCUCGAACGGGAUGCUAAUACCGCAUACGUCCUACGGGAGAAAGCAGGGGAUCACUUGUGACCUUGCGCUAAUAGAUGAGCCUAAGUCGGAUUAGCGAGUUGGUGGGGUAAAGGCCUACCAAGGCGACGAUCUGUAGCGGGUCUGAGAGGAUGAUCCGCCACACUGGGACUGAGACACGGCCCAGACUCCUACGGGAGGCAGCAGUGGGGAAUAUUGGACAAUGGGGGGAACCCUGAUCCAGCCAUACCGCGUGUGUGAAGAAGGCCUUAUGGUUGUAAAGCACUUUAAGCGAGGAGGAGGCUCUUUUGGUUAAUACCCAAGAUGAGUGGACGUUACUCGCAGAAUAAGCACCGGCUAACUCUGUGCCAGCCGCCGCCGUAA